GUGCCCUACGGGGGGCAGCAGUGAGGCCUCUCGGUCAAUGGUCGGGAGACUGAACCAGCCAAGCCGCGUGAGGGAUGAAGGUACAGAGUAUCGUAAACCUCUUUUGUCAGGGAGCAAAGGGCGCCACGUGUGGCGUUUUGCGAGUACCUGAAGAAAAAGCAUCGGCUAACUCCGUGCCAGCAGCCGCGGUAAUACGGAGGAUGCGAGCGUUAUCCGGAUUUAUUGGGUUUAAAGGGUGCGCAGGCGGAAUGUCAAGUCAGCGGUAAAAUUUCGGGGCUCAACCCCGUCGUGCCGUUGAAACUGGC
This 305-nucleotide ribosomal RNA is filed under the name uncultured bacterium. RNAcentral describes it as "bacterial SSU rRNA". It matches the Rfam family "Bacterial small subunit ribosomal RNA", at positions 334 to 637 of the family's 1533-position model. The record is from RNAcentral.